This 73-nucleotide non-coding RNA is filed under the name Lactonifactor longoviformis DSM 17459. Lineage: Bacteria; Bacillati; Bacillota; Clostridia; Eubacteriales; Clostridiaceae. The record is from RNAcentral.
UAGAGCCGUAUACGAGACCCGUAUGUACGGUUCAAUGAGAGGGAGAUAACUUUUGCGGAUUUCUCUACUCUAU